Molecule: ribosomal RNA, 484 nt
Filed under: uncultured bacterium
Lineage: Bacteria
Description: partial 16S ribosomal RNA
Rfam family: Bacterial small subunit ribosomal RNA
Source: RNAcentral
GAUUAACGCUAGCGGCAGGCAUAAUACAUGCAAGUUGAACGGCAGCACAGGUAGCAAUACUGGGUGGCGAUUGGCGCACGGGUGCGUAACACGUAUGCAACCUAUCCUAUACAGGCGAAUAACCCUUAGAAAAGAGGGCUAAAACGCCGUAGUAUUACAGAUGGGCAUUUAUUUGUAAUUAAAGAUUUAUCGGUAUAUGAUGUGCAUGCGUCCCAUUAGUUAGUUGGUAAGGUAAUGGCUUACCAAGACGACGAUGCGUAGGGGAUCUGAGGGGACUUACCCCUGCACUGGUACUGAGACACGGACCACACUCGUACGGAGGGCAGCAGUAAGGACUAUUGUGCGAUGGACGCGAAGCUGACCACGCCAUGCCGCGUGCAGGAAGACGGGCUUAUGGGUUGUAAACUGCUUUUAUACGAGAAUAAUAGAGUGUACGCGUACAUUUAUGAAAGUAUCGUAUGAAUAAGCAUCGGCUAACUACGUG